GGAGGAGCCCCCGCCUCCCUGCCUCCUGGGGACCCUGAGGGAGAAAGUCCCUUUAGGGUUGAAUGCUUGGGCAAGUGACACGUGGUUUUCCUACUGUCGCCCCAACCUAAAAAGAACGAAUCCAGGCGGGGAAUUAGCCCUGGGGACAGAGGGUUUCCUCCUUCUGGACAGAGAAGGCCCAGAGUCUGCUUCUGAACGGAUAUCCGGCCCGCAGGAUGCAGAGGAGGCAAAGGCCUCAUUGUUCUUUGGGGCCUGCCUGCCUGCCCCGCCCCCAGCCGUAGGACACUCGUGGCAGAUCCCGGGUGACCGAAGACAGCCCAUUUGCAGGAGUGGGGCCUUCGGAGCGGAGGGAGCGAGAAAACAGGGCUGAUCACAGACCAGGAGUCUGAUGUUCUGAGCAUAAUACUGGAAGGAGCUAAGAGCCCCAAAAUAAAUAAGACCGGAAUUUAAAAACGUUAAUCCCACGCCGGCUCGGCGCUGGCCUGGCUGUUACUCAUUAACGCUCCCCACGGCGGAGACUCCGGCGACUCCGUCUGCGUUUUUAUUACUUAAUCUAGCUGGGUUUGGCUGCAGGGAGGCUCCUGGACUUGCUGGCCGGGUGUGCUGGAAGGCAGUUUAUUCACAGAACGAGCGGCUUCCCACGGUGGACCCCGAGCCCCGGGCGCGGUCCGUGUAGACCCCGCGCCUGCGCCCCGCGGCCGCCCGGGGGCGCUCGGGUC
Molecule: long non-coding RNA, 719 nt
Organism: Rhinopithecus bieti (black snub-nosed monkey)
Lineage: Eukaryota; Metazoa; Chordata; Mammalia; Primates; Cercopithecidae
Source: Ensembl